Long non-coding RNA from Episyrphus balteatus (marmalade hoverfly), 869 nucleotides. RefSeq lists it as uncharacterized. Lineage: Eukaryota; Metazoa; Arthropoda; Insecta; Diptera; Syrphidae. The transcript is spliced from 4 exons. The record is from RefSeq and is a predicted model, not a curated record.
GCCAUCAUUGUUUUGACGAAACUCUCUCCUACAAAAAUGGAGUCAAACGUCAACAACACGAAGAAGGAGGACGUCUGCUUGGUUCCCACAUCUUUAGGUAGACAUGUAUCUGGUAGAACCACCAGCGGAACUCCCCAAUCCCAGAACAUUAGACCACCGCAACACGAUAUGUACUGUUGUCACUUUUUACUAUUGUUACACCAGCUCCAUAAUAUGGAAUAAUAUAUGCCGACCCCUUGCAUUGCAAUCAAAACGUACUUAGCUUUGCCAAGCCAAUGGAUAACCUAAGUAGAAUCGGUCAAUUCCAAUCAUGCCUAAGAACAUUGAUAGGAGAAGUGCUGUAUCAAAGCGAUAACCAUUUCUGUUUAUUUCUAAAUAAUUAUUUCUAAAUAAACUUAUGUCCUUUUCCAAGGAAGUUCUCUGGUGAAUGUGUUAUUUUUAGUUUCGGUGCAUCCAAUACCAUCCACAGCAAUGCACCAACUAUUAAUAUGUUUAAUUAUAGUCAUCGUAACAAAACACCGGUUAGGAGGAGGACUGGGUCGACUAAUAGCCGGUGAACGCCUUUUUUUUAUCUUUUUAUUUUGAUUUUAUGAAGUUUACUUCAAAAAUUUUCUAUUAAAUAAGCAUCAGGUGUGUGGGGUAUUUGUCCGUGGGGAGUUACCCACGUUAACAGCCGGGCUAUGAUUUGGGUGUACAUCAUCAUUCUACUAUGUUUUGGAAUAUCGUCUGCAGACGAAUGAUUCCACUUUGGAGGGGAAUGAAUUAACCGAUCGCUUUUCUACCUGGGAUGCGAUUCUUGAUUGAAGGUAGAUUUCGUAGUUUUAGUUUUUCUUCAUCUUGAUAUAUUUUUUAUAUAUAUAAUUUAUCUG